RNAcentral lists this unclassified non-coding RNA (377 nucleotides) under uncultured Chlamydiales bacterium. RNAcentral's name for it is "contains 16S-23S intergenic spacer region". Lineage: Bacteria; Pseudomonadati; Chlamydiota; Chlamydiia; Chlamydiales. The record is from RNAcentral.
UCCCGGUUAACCCGGGCAGUCUCGUUAAAGUUCCCAUCCGAAAUGCUGGCAACUAACGACAAGGGUUGCGCUCGUUGCGGGACUUAACCCAACACCUCACGGCACGAGCUGACGACAGCCAUGCAGCACCUGUGCACCGAUCCCGAAGGAAGGGCCUGUUUCCAGACCUGUCCGGUGCAUGUCAAUUCUGGGUAAGGUUCUUCGCGUUGCAUCGAAUUAAACCACAUGCUCCACUGCUUGUGCGGGUCCCCGUCAAUUCUUUUGAGUUUCACCCUUGCGAGCGUACUCCCCAGGCGGUAUACUUAACGCGUUAGCUCCGGCACAGCCGGGGUUGAGACCGGCUACACCAAGUAUACAUCGUUUACGGCUAGGACUAC